This 506-nucleotide ribosomal RNA is filed under the name uncultured bacterium. RNAcentral's name for it is "partial 16S ribosomal RNA". It matches the Rfam family "Bacterial small subunit ribosomal RNA", at positions 29 to 523 of the family's 1533-position model. The record is from RNAcentral.
AUUGAACGCUGGCGGCAGGCCUAACACAUGCAAGUCGGACGGUAGCACAGAGGAGCUUGCUCCUCGGGUGACGAGUGGCGGACGGGUGAGUAAUGUCUGGGGAUCUGCCCGAUAGAGGGGGAUAACCACUGGAAACGGUGGCUAAUACCGCAUAACGUCGCAAGACCAAAGAGGGGGACCUUCGGGCCUCUCACUAUCGGAUGAACCCAGAUGGGAUUAGCUAGUAGGCGGGGUAAUGGCCCACCUAGGCGACGAUCCCUAGCUGGUCUGAGAGGAUGACCAGCCACACUGGAAAUGAGACACGGUCCAGACUCCUACGGGAGGCAGCAGUGGGGAAUAUUGCACAAUGGGCGCAAGCCUGGUGCAGCCAUGCCGCGUGUAUGAAGAAGGCCUUCGGGUUGUAAAGUACUUUCAGCGGGGAGGAAGGCGAUGUGGUUAAUAACCUUGUCGAUUGACGUUACCCGCAGAAGAAGCACCGGCUAACUCCGUGCCAGCCGCCGCGGUAA